RNAcentral lists this ribosomal RNA (472 nucleotides) under uncultured bacterium. RNAcentral describes it as "partial 16S ribosomal RNA". It matches the Rfam family "Bacterial small subunit ribosomal RNA", at positions 28 to 507 of the family's 1533-position model. The record is from RNAcentral.
GACGAACGCUGGCGGCGUGCUUAACACAUGCAAGUCGAGCGGAAAGGCCCUUCGGGUUCCUCGCGCGCCGUACGGGUGAGUAACACGUGAGUAAUCUGCCCUUGUCUUUGUGAUAACUACCGGAAACGGUGACUAAUACCCGAAUCGACAACCAUCUGCUUGGGCUGGUUGUGGAAAGGUUUUUCGCCGAUGGAUGUUCUCGCGUCCUUUCAGCCUGGUGGCGGAGUAUUGGUCUACCAGGACUUCGACGGGUAGCCGACCUGUGAGGGGGGCCGGCCACAAUGGGACCGAGACACGGGCGAGACUCCUACGGGAGGUAGCAGUGGGAAAUGUUGGACAAUGGGCGGAAGCCUGAUCCGGCAACGCCGAGUGAGGGAUGACGGCCAUCGGGUUGUAAGCCUCUUGAAGUACCGACGAAGGGCCGAUGAUGGUGGUGACGGUAGGUACAGAAGAAGCACCGGCCAACUACGUG